This 81-nucleotide microRNA precursor is filed under the name Drosophila mojavensis. RNAcentral describes it as "Dmo-Mir-10-P4_pre stem-loop". Lineage: Eukaryota; Metazoa; Arthropoda; Insecta; Diptera; Drosophilidae. The record is from RNAcentral.
UACCCUGUAGUUCCGGGCUUUUGUUUAUAGUGCAUACGAAUGCCAUUGUCAAUUAUCAGAAGCUCGUCUCUACAGGUAUCU